RNAcentral lists this unclassified non-coding RNA (432 nucleotides) under soil metagenome. Its description in RNAcentral is "partial contains 5.8S ribosomal RNA, internal transcribed spacer 2, and large subunit ribosomal RNA". The stretch from base 1 to 120 matches the Rfam family "5.8S ribosomal RNA", at positions 35 to 154 of the family's 154-position model. The record is from RNAcentral.
GAUGAAGAACGUAGCGAAAUGCGAUACGUAAUGUGAAUUGCAGAAUUCAGUGAAUCAUCGAAUCUUUGAACGCAUAUUGCGCUCUCUGGUAUUCCGGAGAGCAUGCUUGUUUGAGUAUCAGUAAACACCUCAACUUCCAUAUCUUUUUUGAAAUGGGAGUUGGACUUGAGUGAUCCCAACGCUUUUCCUCACCGAAAAGUGGCGGGUUACUUGAAAUGCAGGUGCAGCUGGAAUUUUCUCUGAGCUAUAAGCAUAUCUAUUUAGUCUGCCUAAAAAACAGAUUAUUACCUUUGCUGCAGCUAACAUAAAGGAGAUUAGUUCUUGUGCUGACUGAUGCAGGAUUCACAAAGACGGCUUCGGCCGACUUUGUAAACUCGAUCUCAAAUCAAGUAAGACUACCCGCUGAACUUAAGCAUAUCAAUAAGCGGAGGA